Molecule: ribosomal RNA, 93 nt
Filed under: Silene coutinhoi
Lineage: Eukaryota; Viridiplantae; Streptophyta; Magnoliopsida; Caryophyllales; Caryophyllaceae
Description: partial 18S ribosomal RNA
Rfam family: Eukaryotic small subunit ribosomal RNA
Source: RNAcentral
CGACGUCGCGAGAAGUUCACUGAAACCUUAUCAUUUAGAGGAAGGAGAAGUCGUAACAAGGUUUCCGUAGGUGAACCUGCGGAAGGAUCAUUG